CCUACGGGAGGCAGCAGUGGGGAAUAUUGCACAAUGGGCGCAAGCCUGAUGCAGCGACGCCGCGUGAGGGAUGACGGCCUUCGGGUUGUAAACCUCUUUCAGUAGGGAAGAAGCGGAAGUGACGGUACCUGCAGAAGAAGCGCCGGCUAACUACGUGCCAGCAGCCGCGGUAAUACGUAGGGCGCAAGCGUUAUCCGGAAUUAUUGGGCGUAAAGAGCUCGUAGGCGGUUUGUCGCGUCUGCCGUGAAAGUCCGGGGCUCAACUCCGGAUCUGCGGUGGGUACGGGCAGACUAGAGUGAUGUAGGGGAGACUGGAAUUCCUGGUGUAGCGGUGAAAUGCGCAGAUAUCAGGAGGAACACCGAUGGCGAAGGCAGGUCUCUGGGCAUUAACUGACGCUGAGGAGCGAAAGCAUGGGGAGCGAACAGGAUUAGAUACCCUGGUAGUCCAUGCCGUAAACGUUGGGCACUAGGUGUGGGGGACAUUCCACGUUUUCCGCGCCGUAGCUAACGCAUUAAGUGCCCCGCCUGGGGAGUACGGCCGCAAGGCUAAAACUCAAAGGAAUUGACGGCUGNGAGNGCGAGACGACGACGAGGGAGAGG
RNAcentral lists this ribosomal RNA (599 nucleotides) under uncultured bacterium. Its description in RNAcentral is "bacterial SSU rRNA". It matches the Rfam family "Bacterial small subunit ribosomal RNA", at positions 338 to 947 of the family's 1533-position model. The record is from RNAcentral.